This 121-nucleotide small nucleolar RNA is filed under the name Salmo salar (Atlantic salmon). Its description in RNAcentral is "Small nucleolar RNA U3". It matches the Rfam family "Small nucleolar RNA U3", at positions 1 to 120 of the family's 219-position model. Rfam says of the family: Small nucleolar RNAs (snoRNAs) are involved in the processing and modification of rRNA in the nucleolus. There are two main classes of snoRNAs: the box C/D class, and the box H/ACA class. The record is from Rfam by way of RNAcentral. Lineage: Eukaryota; Metazoa; Chordata; Actinopteri; Salmoniformes; Salmonidae.
AAGACUAUACUUUCAGGGAUAAUUUCUAUAGUUCGUUACUUGAGAAAUGUGUGUCUAAAGUGGUAGGUCUCGCUAUCCAUGAUCACGAUUCAAGAUAUUCCCGUUCAGAGCAUGAAUCUGG